UCAUCCUCAAAGUAAUGCAACAACAAUUUGAGAGGAUUCAACUAGCUAUUGGCAACAUGAAUGAGAAACUAGAGAAACAACAACGUGAGUUAAAUUCCAUGAGAGGGGAAGCUUCCCAAACCAAUCCAGGGGCAAGAAGACUUCCAACACCAUAUUUUGAUGAGGAACUGGAGGAAGAAUUUGAUGACCAAGCUACUUUGGUCAAUGAAGAUCGAAAUUAUGAUAGGGGUCGAAACGAUCUUGGUAAAAACAUUAGGAGC
Molecule: long non-coding RNA, 260 nt
Filed under: Carica papaya (papaya)
Lineage: Eukaryota; Viridiplantae; Streptophyta; Magnoliopsida; Brassicales; Caricaceae
Description: long non-coding RNA (CPAP_LNC011085)
Source: RNAcentral